UACGUAGGCAGCAAGCGUUAAUCGGAAUUACUGGGCGUAGAGCGUGCGCAGGCGGUUCGUUGUGUCGGUGGUGAAAGCCCCGGGCUUAACCUGGGAAUGGCCGUCGAAACUGGCGAACUGGAGUGUGGCAGAGGGGGGUGGAAUUCCGCGUGUAACAGUGAAAUGCGUAGAUAUGCGGAGGAACACCAAUGGCGAAGGCAAUCCCCUGGGCCUGUACUGACGCUCAUGCACGAAAGCGUGGGGAGCAAACAGG
RNAcentral lists this ribosomal RNA (253 nucleotides) under uncultured bacterium. RNAcentral's name for it is "partial 16S ribosomal RNA". It matches the Rfam family "Bacterial small subunit ribosomal RNA", at positions 524 to 776 of the family's 1533-position model. The record is from RNAcentral.